RNA transcript from Ruditapes philippinarum (Manila clam), 3071 nucleotides. It is a transcript of the gene named probable splicing factor, arginine/serine-rich 6, with no coding region annotated. Lineage: Eukaryota; Metazoa; Mollusca; Bivalvia; Venerida; Veneridae. The transcript is spliced from 6 exons. The record is from RefSeq and is a predicted model, not a curated record.
AACUUACAGUAUCUACCUAUUCUCACGACGUACAGAUACCACAGCUACACCGGACACGGAGGCGAACAAUAAAAUUGCAUAAUGUCUCGGGGUUCUAACAGCGAUUGUAAGGUGUAUGUAGGAGACCUUGGUGAUGGUGCAGCUAAACAGGAACUAGAGGAAGUAUUCCAGAGGUAUGGACCUCUGAGAAAUGUAUGGGUAGCAAGAAAUCCACCUGGAUUUGCAUUUGUUGAGUUUGAAGAUCCAAGAGAUGUAGAUGAUGCUUGUAAAGCCUUGGAUGGCGCGAGGAUUAAUGGUAGACGAGUGAGAGUUGAACCAUCAAAUGGUAAAACUCGCUGGGGUCGUGGUGGUCCACCUAGACGUGGUGGUGGCCGUGGUGGUGGCGGUUGGGGUGGUGGUGGUGGUGGAGGUGGUCGUCGAGGAUUCAGAGGCAGGUCAAGGGUCAGAUAUGCUGCUGAUUGUUUACAUGCUUCAUAAAAUCCCCAAUUAUCUUCGGUGCAAAGUCUCUCCGGUAUAGCCAACACAUGAAGAGCUGUAUACAUCCCUCGCCUCGUCUCGUCUCGACCUCUUCACCAAAAGUCAACUUACUUUUAGGUCUCUCAUAGACUACACUACACAAUUAGUCGUCUAGUGGAUGGAAAAGGCAAAUGCUCUUGUUUGCCAUAAUUUAUCAUGCUUAUCGUGGUUGAUCGACAAAUCUUCGGCGCCCCUACAUAAUCAACAACUCUUCAAGAAAAUAAUCUCGCCUCUUCACAUAAAAGUUAAAUGUGGCUAGCUCCGUCGUUGGACUUCAAAUUGCUUAAGAUUACAACGAUUUGUCAAUUAUGAACUGUAUAGUUCUAUUUGUACCAUCCAGAAAAUUUAAAUAAUGGGCACCUAUUCAAAAAUGUCGCCUUCAUCUUGUACCAAUUUAAGUCGUCAAGAUUGCAUUCAGCCUCUCUCAUUUCUACGAUGUUUGUUGCACCCUCCUGUAAAUCCCUUCUUCGAUGUUAUCUCGACUUGUUAUCAUUAUGUAAAUAUAACACACUGCAAAGGUAAACAUAUUGUAACAAAUGUAUGACAGGAUUGGUUUUAAUUUGACACUGCUUUCUUUUCAAUUUAAAGUAGAUAAAAAGAAGGAUAAAAUACACAAUAUGAUUAUUUUCAUAAAAAGAUUUAGCUCUUAGCCUGUUGAAUGACUAAAAUGGAUUUGUCAAAUUUUUAUUUUUGAAACUCCUGAUCCGUGUCAAUUUUUGGAAUUUCAAGAUGAAAAAUUAAAGUUAAUUCUCCAAAGUCUGGCCAACUGUAUGGAUGUGGCGGUUGGCCUGGCUCUUUAUGAGUGAUAAGACUAUUAAGGCAAAUCAGGAUUCAAUUUCAGCAGGGUAAUAGUUAAAGUAGUCUGCAAUAUUUCAUUUUUAAAGUUGCAUGCCUCCUGAUUACUAAAAAUGAGUAUUUCAAAAUACAGAAUUCAAGAAAAAUACAUGUGUAUCAAUAGUGUAUAUUUUGUAUAAAUAGUCACCACCAGGUUCUUUUUACAUAUUUUAAAUGUCACAGACUCCACCCUCUACAAAUUUCCACAGCAUUAUGUUAAGAAUAAGAGAUAUUCCUGCAUAUUUUAAGUGUAAUUGGUAAUUUCUAUUUCUUAUUAUUUAGAUCACUUUAUAUGUGCACAAUUUAAAACAAUAUGUUAAGUUUUCUAAGAAUCCGGAUGCAUGCUGCUUUAAUAAUUGGAUUCCCUUAAAGUUUUUGAUUUCUGUUAUUCUUUUGUAAUAUCACUUUUGGUAUUGAGAAAGUACAGGUACAGUUUACUCAUAUGAUCAUUUCAGUCUAUCAGUAGAACAGUAACCUGACCUAGUAUGAUGUGAAGAAUAAGUAAAUGUUAACUGCAAAAUAUUGUUGUAAAAUGUAGCAUUAGAUUUCAUUAAAUUUACAAAUAAAACAUAACGACAUCACAGUGACGCCAUCACCUUAGUGCUGUAAUUGGUUAACUACUUAUGUAAUUUAAUGGGAGUAAACACAUUAUUGCACUAAGGUGACCACACAUAAUUAUCACAAGUUUAAACUGAAAUCUGACCCUGCUGAUUUUCAUUGAUUUGAAUUUGGAACGGUCCAUAUGAAGUUUCUGGGAUUUUAGUUAUUAAAACAAGAGAAAUUGAUGAGUCAUCAUUAAAAUGUAGGCUCAAACUAAACAUAGUAGCAGACUGAACAUCAUAAGUUACUUAUUGUUUAUCACUGUAAGAAUUACGUUUGGUUGACUUUGAAGCAAUAUUGCAAGUAUAUGUAGAUGCUAUCUUGAUUUUGAGGUCAAAGGUCAUGGACACUGACGCUGUAAAAAAAAUCUUAUCAAUAACUUGAGAAGAAAUCACCCAAAGGUUAUGAAACUUACAUUGCCCAGGGGCUGUAGGAUACCCCUAGUUGUUUAAAGAUCAUUAAGUAAAGGUCACAUGUGUAAUACUUUAAUCAAGAACAAGAGUUUCCUAAUCAUACAUUUUGUGAAACUGAUUAUAAAAAAAUAGUAAAAUUACAUGUAUACAUAUAAACUUAUUAAUAUAAACCAAUCUCAUCAAAAUCAUAUUCUAACUACCCUUCACCUUCACUUUGUUGCGAAGAGUAACAGAGCGAAAACGGUGAUCUGAUUUUAAUGAGAUUGUAAUAUAAACUUGACUUUAAUAAAAUAUUUAUAAGUAUGCCAUUGUGACACAAAAUGAAGUAGAGGCACAAAUGUCCUAUAGGCACAUUUCUAGUAAAACAAAAUAUUAGAAAGAAUUAGGAAUUUGAUUAAUUAUUCAUUUAUUGUAAGGCAGUCUUUCAAAAAGGUUUGACAGGACAUAGAAACAUUAUUUACAUCUCUACAUGUUCAUAUCAUCAUUUAAUAUUGUCAUCAUUUUGAUUUAUAUAGAGCGUCCGUUUCAUGAUAAAAAUUUUGCUUGCUAUGGUUACAGGUCAAGGUCACCCAGAAGAAGGUCACCAUCACCAAGGAGAUACAGGAGCAGGUCCAGAUCUCCAGUUCGUAAGCAUCAAUCAGCAUCAAAAUCCCCAGAAAGGAGAAGCACUGGUAGAAGAGAAUGGGACUAGAUAUUUCACAUUGGAUC